Molecule: ribosomal RNA, 645 nt
Filed under: uncultured Flavobacterium sp.
Lineage: Bacteria; Pseudomonadati; Bacteroidota; Flavobacteriia; Flavobacteriales; Flavobacteriaceae
Description: bacterial SSU rRNA
Rfam family: Bacterial small subunit ribosomal RNA
Source: RNAcentral
GAUGAACGCUAGCGGCAGGCUUAACACAUGCAAGUCGAGGGGUAUAGGUUUUCGGACCUAGAGACCGGCGCACGGGUGCGUAACGCGUAUGCAAUCUACCUUUCACAGAGGGAUAGCCCAGAGAAAUUUGGAUUAAUACCUCAUAGUAUAAUUGAAUGGCAUCAUUUAAUUAUUAAAGUCACAACGGUGAAAGAUGAGCAUGCGUCCCAUUAGCUAGUUGGUAAGGUAACGGCUUACCAAGGCGACGAUGGGUAGGGGUCCUGAGAGGGAGAUCCCCCACACUGGUACUGAGACACGGACCAGACUCCUACGGGAGGCAGCAGUGAGGAAUAUUGGUCAAUGGGCGCAAGCCUGAACCAGCCAUGCCGCGUGCAGGAUGACGGUCCUAUGGAUUGUAAACUGCUUUUGUACAGGAAGAAACACUGGUUCGUGAACCAGCUUGACGGUACUGUAAGAAUAAGGAUCGGCUAACUCCGUGCCAGCAGCCGCGGUAAUACGGAGGAUCCAAGCGUUAUCCGGAAUCAUUGGGUUUAAAGGGUCCGUAGGCGGUCAGAUAAGUCAGUGGUGAAAGCCCAUCGCUCAACGGUGGAACGGCCAUUGAUACUGUCUGACUUGAAUUAUUAGGAAGUAACUAGAAUAUGUAGU